AGAGUUUGAUCCGGCUCAGGAUAAACGCUGGCGGCGCACAUAAGACAUGCAAGUCGAACGAACUUAACUUCUUGCUUGCAAGAAGAGCGGUUAGUGGCGGACUGGUGAGUAACACGUAAGAAAUCUGCCUAUCAGAGGGGAAUAACAGUGAGAAAUCAUUGCUAAUACCGCAUAUGCCAUAGGAGUCGCAUGACUCUAGUGGGAAAGGAGCAAUCCGCUGAUAGAUGAGCUUGCGUCUGAUUAGCUAGUUGGUGGGGUAAAGGCCUACCAAGGCGACGAUCAGUAGCCGGACUGAGAGGUUGAACGGCCACAUUGGGACUGAGAUACGGCCCAGACUCCUACGGGAGGCAGCAGUCGGGAAUAUUGCGCAAUGGAGGAAACUCUGACGCAGUGACGCCGCGUAUAGGAAGAAGGUUUUCGGAUUGUAAACUAUUGUCCACAGGGAAGAAAAAAGACUGUACCUGUGAAGAAAGCUCCGGCUAACUACGUGCCAGCAGCCGCGGUAAUACGUAGGGAGCAAGCGUUAUCCGGAAUUAUUGGGUGUAAAGGGUGCGUAGACGGGAUAACAAGUUGGUUGUGAAACCCCUCGGCUCAACUGAGGAACUGCAACCAAAACUAUUAUUCUUGAGUGCAGGAGAGGAAAGUGGAAUUCCUAGUGUAGCGGUGAAAUGCGUAGAUAUUAGGAAGAACACCGGUGGCGAAGGCGACUUUCUGGACUGUAACUGACGUUGAGGCACGAAAGUGUGGGGGAGCAAACAGGAUUAGAUACCCUGGUAGUCCACACUGUAAACGAUGGAUACUAGGUGUAGGUGGUAUUAAGCCAUCUGUGCCGUCGCAAACGCAGUAAGUAUCCCACCUGGGGAGUACGACCGCAAGGUUGAAACUCAAAGGAAUUGACGGGGGCCCGCACAAGCAGUGGAGUAUGUGGUUUAAUUCGAAGCAACGCGAAGAACCUUACCAGGGCUUGACAUACAGAUGAAUAUCUAAGAGAUUAGAUAGUAUUUCGGUACAUCUGUACAGGUGGUGCAUGGUUGUCGUCAGCUCGUGUCGUGAGAUGUUAGGUUAAGUCCUGCAACGAGCGCAACCCCUAUACUUAGUUGCCAGCACGUAAAGGUGGGAACUCUAGGUAGACUGCCGGUGAUAAAUCGGAGGAAGGUGGGGACGACGUCAAAUCAUCAUGCCCUUUAUGUCCUGGGCUACACACGUACUACAAUGGCUAUAACAAAGAGAAGCGAGACGGAGACGUUAAGCGAAACCCAAAAAAGUAGUCUCAGUUCGGAUUGAAGGCUGAAAUUCGCCUUCAUGAAGCCGGAAUUGCUAGUAAUGGCAGGUCAGCAUACUGCCGUGAAUACGUUCCCGGGCCUUGUACACACCGCCCGUCACACCAUGAGAGUUGGGAAUACCCGAAGCCUGUGAGCUAACUGUAAGGAGGCAGCAGUCGAAGGUAGAAUCAAUGAUUGGGGUGAAGUCGUAACAAGGUAACC
RNAcentral lists this ribosomal RNA (1484 nucleotides) under uncultured bacterium. Its description in RNAcentral is "16S ribosomal RNA". It matches the Rfam family "Bacterial small subunit ribosomal RNA". The record is from RNAcentral.